This 171-nucleotide ribosomal RNA is filed under the name uncultured cyanobacterium. Its description in RNAcentral is "partial 16S ribosomal RNA". It matches the Rfam family "Bacterial small subunit ribosomal RNA", at positions 338 to 524 of the family's 1533-position model. The record is from RNAcentral. Lineage: Bacteria; Bacillati; Cyanobacteriota.
CCUACGGGAGGCAGCAGUAGGGAAUUUUCCGCAAUGGGCGAAAGCCUGACGGAGCAAUACCGCGUGAGGGAUGACGGCCUGUGGGUUGUAAACCUCUUUUCUCAAGGAAGAAGCUCUGACGGUACUUGAGGAAUAAGCAUCGGCUAACUCUGUGCCAGCAGCCGCGGUAAU